RNAcentral lists this ribosomal RNA (511 nucleotides) under uncultured bacterium. Its description in RNAcentral is "bacterial SSU rRNA". It matches the Rfam family "Bacterial small subunit ribosomal RNA", at positions 501 to 1014 of the family's 1533-position model. The record is from RNAcentral.
CUACGUGCCAGCAGCCGCGGUAAUACGGAAGGUCCGGGCGUUAUCCGGAUUUAUUGGGUUUAAAGGGAGCGUAGGCCGGAGAUUAAGUGUGUUGUGAAAUGUAGACGCUCAACGUCUGACUUGCAGCGCAUACUGGUUUCCUUGAGUACGCACAACGUUGGCGGAAUUCGUCGUGUAGCGGUGAAAUGCUUAGAUAUGACGAAGAACUCCGAUUGCGAAGGCAGCUGACGGGAGCGCAACUGACGCUUAAGCUCGAAGGUGCGGGUAUCGAACAGGAUUAGAUACCCUGGUAGUCCGCACAGUAAACGAUGGAUGCCCGCUGUUGGUACCUGGUAUCAGCGGCUAAGCGAAAGCAUUGAGCAUCCCACCUGGGGAGUACGCCGGCAACGGUGAAACUCAAAGGAAUUGACGGGGGCCCGCACAAGCGGAGGAACAUGUGGUUUAAUUCGAUGAUACGCGAGGAACCUUACCCGGGCUUGAAUUGCAGAGGAAGGAUUUAGAGAUAAUGACG